GCAAGUCGAACGAGAGUUUUUAACUCUAGUGGCGAACGGGUGCGUAAUACGUGAGAAUCUGCCCUUAGGAGAAGAAUAACUACUGGAAACGGUAGCUAAGUCUUCAUAUGCCGAGAGGUGAAAUAGUUUUAACUGCCUAAGGAUGAGCUCACGCCUGAUUAGCUUGUUGGUGAGGUAACGGCUUACCAAGGCCACGAUCUAUAGCUGGUUUUAGAGGACGAUC
RNAcentral lists this ribosomal RNA (223 nucleotides) under uncultured bacterium. RNAcentral describes it as "partial 16S ribosomal RNA". It matches the Rfam family "Bacterial small subunit ribosomal RNA", at positions 57 to 305 of the family's 1533-position model. The record is from RNAcentral.